RNAcentral lists this non-coding RNA (23 nucleotides) under Cricetulus griseus (Chinese hamster). The record is from RNAcentral. Lineage: Eukaryota; Metazoa; Chordata; Mammalia; Rodentia; Cricetidae.
GAGGGACUUUGGACCAGGGUUGC